Molecule: long non-coding RNA, 845 nt
Filed under: Equus asinus (donkey)
Lineage: Eukaryota; Metazoa; Chordata; Mammalia; Perissodactyla; Equidae
Description: lncRNA (ENSEASG00005035675.1)
Source: RNAcentral
CUCAGAUACGUCAUGUGACUUUCCCAAGUCAUGAGAGGCUUACCAACUUGUCCCAAUUUCCCUGGGACUUUGCUGGUUUUAAAACUGGAGGGCCCUCAUCCUGGGAAGCCCCUCAGUCCUGGGUAAGCCAGGCUGGUUGGUCACCCUGCAGCUACGGCAAGAGGCUGAGAUGAGUGCCAGUUACCUGCUCCGGAGGACUGUGGAGCCUGGGCGAGCCACCCCCUCCUUCUGCAGGGAGAACACGAGACUUGGUUCCAGAGGUCAGAAGCCCAACAUGGGUCUUGGCGGGCCAAACCCAAGCUAUCAACAGGGCCACAUUCCUUUCUGGAUGCUCUAAGGAAAAAAUCAUUUCCUUGCUCGCUGAGUUAUUGGCAGAAUCAAGUUCCUUGCAGUUGUAGAACUGAAACUCCUAUUUCCUUCCUUGGCACAUGGUCACCUUCUUCUACCUUCAAAGCCAGCAAUGGCCAGGCUCUCUCAGGUGAUGGACAAGGAACCAGAGUGGAAGGAGUUUUUCACAGACUGGUCGCUUCUCUGGCUCAGCCCCUAGACAAGUGUCUCAACACCCGUGACCUUCAGUUCCCUCAUCCAGAUGACAGAAAUCCUCAGGCUCGCCAGCCUCCCUCCCUGGACCAUGAACAGGCUCUGACAACUCUCAAGCACAGUUGUAAUUCCAAGUCAUGUUGUGAUGAAAAGAAAAUGGGGCUGAUCUUGUUAAGUUUCCCAAGGAAAUCUGCAUAGUUUUCUGACCCCUUUCCCAGAGACCAGAGAGGAAAUUGAGAAUGAAGCCCCAGCGGAGCCAGCACCCUGAAAGAAGUGUGUGCAAGCCAUGGAUUUCGAAAUAGAGA